UUCGGCUUAGAGUUUGAUCCUGGCUCAGAACGAACGCUGGCGGCGUGCCUAACACAUGCAAGUCGAACGCGAACGGAAUCUUCGGAUUCCAAGUAGAGUGGCGCACGGGUGAGUAACACGUGGAUAACCUGCCCCAAGAUCUGGGAUAACAUUUCGAAAGAAGUGCUAAUACCGGAUAAGCCCACAACCUCCUCGGAGGAAGCGGGAAAAGAUUUAUCGUCUUGGGAUGGGUCCGCGGUCCAUUAGCUAGUUGGUGGGGUAAUGGCCUACCAAGGCUGCGAUGGAUAGCUGGUCUGAGAGGAUGAUCAGCCACACUGGAACUGAGACACGGUCCAGACUCCUACGGGAGGCAGCAGUGGGGAAUUUUGCGCAAUGGGGGAAACCCUGACGCAGCAACGCCGCGUGAAGGAUGAAGGCCUUUGGGUCGUAAACUUCUGUCAGAGGGGAAGAAAUGCCCGCAAGGGUGCUGACGGUACCCUCAAAGGAAGCACCGGCUAA
Molecule: ribosomal RNA, 498 nt
Filed under: bacterium enrichment culture clone NKeF3GL2
Lineage: Bacteria
Description: bacterial SSU rRNA
Rfam family: Bacterial small subunit ribosomal RNA
Source: RNAcentral